UACGUAGGGGGCAAGCGUUGUCCGGAUUUAUUGGGCGUAAAGAGCGUGUAGGCGGCCAGAUAGGUCAGCUGUGAAAACUCGAGGCUCAACCUCGAGAUGUCGGCUGAAACCAUCUGGCUAGAGUCCGGAAGAGGAGAAUGGAAUUCCCGGUGUAGCGGUGAAAUGCGCAGAUAUCGGGAAGAACACCCGUGGCGAAGGCGGCAUCCUGGACCAAUACUGACGCUGAGGAGCGAAAGCCAGGGGAGCAAACGGG
This 253-nucleotide ribosomal RNA is filed under the name uncultured bacterium. Its description in RNAcentral is "partial 16S ribosomal RNA". It matches the Rfam family "Bacterial small subunit ribosomal RNA", at positions 524 to 776 of the family's 1533-position model. The record is from RNAcentral.